AGCAGCCGCGGUAAUUCCAGCUCCAAUAGCGUAUAUUAAAGUUGUUGCAGUUAAAAAGCUCGUAGUUGAAUUUCGGGGUCAAUAAGUUGGUCAUGCCAAUGGUAUGCACUGGCUUUAUUGAUUCCUACCUCUUGACGAACUGUGAUGCCAUUAAUUUGGUGUUGCAAGGAAUCAGGACUGUUACCUUGAAAAAAUUAGAGUGUUUAAAGCAAGCUAACGCUUGAAUACAUUAGCAUGGAAUAAUGAAAUAGGACGUUUGAUCCUAUUUUGUUGGUUUCUAGGAUCGACGUAAUGAUUAAUAGGGAUAGUUGGGGGCAUUAGUAUUCAAUUGUCAGAGGUGAAAUUCUUGGAUUUAUUGAAGACUAACUACUGCGAAAGCAUUUGCCAAGGAUGUUUUCAUUAAUCAAGAACGAAAGUUAGGGGAUCGAGGACGAUCAGAUACCGUCGUAGUCUUAACCAUAAACUAUGCCGACUAGGGAUCGGAUGAUGUUAAUUUUUUAAUGACUCA
RNAcentral lists this ribosomal RNA (508 nucleotides) under Glomus sp. MO-G14. Its description in RNAcentral is "SSU rRNA". It matches the Rfam family "Eukaryotic small subunit ribosomal RNA", at positions 569 to 1078 of the family's 1831-position model. The record is from RNAcentral. Lineage: Eukaryota; Fungi; Glomeromycota; Glomeromycetes; Glomerales; Glomeraceae.